GUGAAUCAUCAAAUCUUUGAACGCAAAUUGCACUCUCUUCGGAGAGCAUGCCUGUUUGAGGUUCAGCCUAAAAAAAAUCAACAUAGUUGCUGGUUCGCGGUUACAGUCGUCGGGAAUUGGGUCAUCUUAAACCUGUGGGUGGUAAGCGGCUUUAAAUUUUCUUUACGAUUCCACGAACGUCUCUAAGAUUUUACUUGUUACACGUUUAUGGUAUCGAUCUUGAUUAGACGUGGCCGUUGCAUCGGAUCACGUCC
RNAcentral lists this unclassified non-coding RNA (254 nucleotides) under Glomus sp. RNAcentral describes it as "partial contains 5.8S ribosomal RNA and internal transcribed spacer 2". The stretch from base 1 to 65 matches the Rfam family "5.8S ribosomal RNA", at positions 84 to 154 of the family's 154-position model. The record is from RNAcentral. Lineage: Eukaryota; Fungi; Glomeromycota; Glomeromycetes; Glomerales; Glomeraceae.